RNAcentral lists this ribosomal RNA (461 nucleotides) under uncultured bacterium. RNAcentral's name for it is "partial 16S ribosomal RNA". It matches the Rfam family "Bacterial small subunit ribosomal RNA", at positions 28 to 506 of the family's 1533-position model. The record is from RNAcentral.
GACGAACGCUGGCGGCGUGCUUAACACAUGCAAGUCGAGCGGUAAGGCCUUUCGGGGUACACGAGCGGCGAACGGGUGAGUAACACGUGGGUGAUCUGCCCUGCACUUCGGGAUAAGCCUGGGAAACUGGGUCUAAUACCGGAUAUGACCUCCUAUCGCAUGGUGGGUGGUGGAAAGAUUUAUCGGUGCAGGAUGGGCCCGCGGCCUAUCAGCUUGUUGGUGGGGUAAUGGCCUACCAAGGCGACGACGGGUAGCCGACCUGAGAGGGAGACCGGCCACACUGGGACUGAGACACGGCCCAGACUCCUACGGGAGGCAGCAGUGGGGAAUAUUGCACAAUGGGCGAAAGCCUGAUGCAGCGACGCCGCGUGAGGGAUGACGGCCUUCGGGUUGUAAACCUCUUUCAGCAGGGACGAAGCGCAAGUGACGGUACCUGCAGAAGAAGCACCGGCUAACUACGU